CCUACGGGUGGCAGCAGUGGGGAAUAUUGGACAAUGGGGGCAACCCUGAUCCAGCCAUGCCGCGUGUGUGAAGAAGGCCCUCGGGUUGUAAAGCACUUUCAGUGAGGAAGAACGCCUGGUGGUUAAUACCCAUCAGGAAAGACAUCACUCACAGAAGAAGCACCGGCUAACUCCGUGCCAGCAGCCGCGGUAAUACGGAGGGUGCGAGCGUUAAUCGGAAUUACUGGGCGUAAAGCGCGCGUAGGUGGCUUGAUAAGCCGGUUGUGAAAGCCCCGGGCUCAACCUGGGAACGGCAUCCGGAACUGUCAAGCUAGAGUGCAGGAGAGGAAGGUAGAAUUCCCGGUGUAGCGGUGAAAUGCGUAGAGAUCGGGAGGAAUACCAGUGGCGAAGGCGGCCUUCUGGACAGACACUGACGCUGAGGUGCGAAAGCGUGGGUAGCAAACAGGAUUAGAUACCCUAGUAGUC
RNAcentral lists this ribosomal RNA (465 nucleotides) under Vreelandella stevensii. RNAcentral describes it as "partial 16S ribosomal RNA". It matches the Rfam family "Bacterial small subunit ribosomal RNA", at positions 338 to 795 of the family's 1533-position model. Lineage: Bacteria; Pseudomonadati; Pseudomonadota; Gammaproteobacteria; Oceanospirillales; Halomonadaceae. The record is from RNAcentral.